Molecule: long non-coding RNA, 216 nt
Filed under: Vigna radiata
Lineage: Eukaryota; Viridiplantae; Streptophyta; Magnoliopsida; Fabales; Fabaceae
Description: long non-coding RNA (VRAD_LNC010759)
Source: RNAcentral
GAGGUGAGUGAAUGAAAUCAUAAAAUUUUAACACUAAAUAUAAAUUUUUACUUAAGGAUAAAAUAGGAAUAGAAAAAAUAGAACAAAGACUAGAAAUGGAAGAGGGAGGUGUAGGAAGCAAGUGGAGAGGUGCAGGGAGCAAUGCCCAAAUGUGGGUGUUGAUCCCUGUACUUUUACAUUUUGGGCCUCCACCUCUCCAUCCCACUUUUAUCCCUU